Molecule: non-coding RNA, 27 nt
Filed under: Homo sapiens (human)
Lineage: Eukaryota; Metazoa; Chordata; Mammalia; Primates; Hominidae
Source: RNAcentral
UGGAUAGAUCUGGCCUGGGAAAGCAAC